CGCCCCCUGCCGGCCGAUCGCCGCGCUGCGCUGCUCUCCUCUGCCAUGACGGCCGCGGGGCUGACGUUCCCCGCUGCGCGCCCGGGGCAGGCCGUGGCCGGAGCCCUCCGUGGGCUGCCAGAUGGCUGCGGUACAAAGGGCAGCCCGCCUCGUGUUUGCGUUACAAGGCACUGAACAAACGCAUCGCAGCUGACACCGCUCCAGCUUUGGGCGCGUGAGGUGUACCUGCCCUACCAGGUGCGCCGGGGCCUGUGCCAGGGGAGCCCGCUGCCCUAUAAAUCCCCUCUUUUAUUUCUCCGUUGCAGGAAUGCUGCGGGUUUAUAAAACACCUGAGAGCCCGUGGUUAAUGUUUCAUCUGCUCGGGGAUAUCCCGUGGGACCAAACUAUUGUUUAAUCUUCUGCAGAACGAACCGUGAUUUAUACGACGUUUGUCCAAAGCAUUUUUCUUCUAUUAGCCGUACCACUGCGUGUCAGAGGCAGAACGUGGAUUUAUCCGCUGCUCGUGCUGCCCACAUCGCACAUAAUGCUGUGUGCACUGAGUAAAAAACACAGAAGUAAAUACUGUGCCUGCCAAGGGAGGACGUACAGAUGGAAGGCUCCGUCUCCAAGGGGAUUUGGAUCCGGAUCAACAUCCAGCAGCCGCAGCGGUUAGCGGAGCCCCGGCAGUGCUAAAGGAAAGAGUAUUUUGGCUACAGUGAGCAACACAAGAGUUAAACAACAGCUUCAAGGAGUAGGUAUGAAAAAAUAUAAACCUCUUAGAGGAACUGGAAGCAGCAGGAGGUCAGUGUGAGCCCAAACAUUAACACAGCCAUUCAGAUUAAUCAGUUCCGGAGUAGCAGUGUCCCACUCUAUAAACUCUACAACGUGUAUACAGUCAGCUGCUGCUGAAAUAUCGCCACUUCUGGCAGAAAUGCCACAGCUGCUUAACAGCCCACAUCGACACGAGCCCUCAAAGGAGAGAACGUGGAGAAGACCAAACCUACAGCCAGUGGUCAGUGUGAAUUGCAUUGCCACAGCCAGUCGACUUCCCAGGAAAACUGUUUCACAAAAGGGAGAUGGAAAGGGGUAGGCAAACCUUUCAUGCCUUUCAGCACAGUGCAGGCACGUGGGGCAGUGGGGCACCAAGGAGCACCUGUAGGCGUGAUGCUUUCUCAAAGAAUCCAGCCAGAUGACACUUCACAGUGCCCAGCAUUUUCAGCCCAGCUUGAGACUGACGUGGAUCCCUGAAGGAUCAACAGAAGGCCACUUUCCUUCCGUCCCGAUGCAUUACUGCCCUAAGCCAAGCAAAGAUCUGAAAUGAAAAUAUCUGAAAUGUCCCAAACCAGAUCCCUGCUCCUGCUAAACCUCUUUGCCAUCCUCCUGGCCUAAAAACCUGAAGUGAGGCUAUUUACAAACAGACCACAUCCAAAAUAA
This 1413-nucleotide long non-coding RNA is filed under the name Gallus gallus (chicken). Its description in RNAcentral is "long non-coding RNA NONGGAT003861". The record is from RNAcentral. Lineage: Eukaryota; Metazoa; Chordata; Aves; Galliformes; Phasianidae.